RNAcentral lists this ribosomal RNA (253 nucleotides) under uncultured bacterium. Its description in RNAcentral is "partial 16S ribosomal RNA". It matches the Rfam family "Bacterial small subunit ribosomal RNA", at positions 524 to 775 of the family's 1533-position model. The record is from RNAcentral.
UACGUAGGGGGCAAGCGUUGUCCGGAUUUAUUGGGCGUAAAGAGCGUGUAGGCGGCUUCACAGGUCCGCUGUGAAAACUCGAGGCUCAACCUCGAGAUGUCGGUGGAAACCGUGUGGCUAGAGUCCGGAAGAGGAGAGUGGAAUUCCCCGGUGUAGCGGUGAAAUGCGCAGAUAUCGGGAAGAACACCCGUGGCGAAGGCGGCUCUCUGGGACGGUACUGACGCGUGAGACGCGAAAGCGUGGGAGCGACAGG